Molecule: non-coding RNA, 574 nt
Organism: Pelobates cultripes (western spadefoot toad)
Lineage: Eukaryota; Metazoa; Chordata; Amphibia; Anura; Pelobatidae
Source: the annotation of a GenBank genome assembly
GUGUAUGUCAGUAUGUCUGAUAGUGUAUGUGUGUAUGUCAGUAUGUUUGACAGUGUCUGUAUCUGUGUGUGUGUCAGAAGGUCUGUGUGAGUGUAUGUCAGUAUGUAUCUGUGUGUCAGUAUGUCUCUGUGUGUGUCAGUAUGUCUGGUGUGUGUGUGUGUGUCAGUAUGUCUGACAGUGUGUCUGUGUAUGUCUGAUAGUGUAUGUCAGUAUGUUUGACAGUGUCUGUAUCUGUGUGUGUGUCAGAAGGUCUGUGUGAGUGUAUGUCAGUAUGUCUGACAGUGUAUGUCUCUGUGUGUGUCAGUAUGUCUCUGUGUGUGUCAGUAUGUCUGGUGUGUGUGUGUGUGUGUGUGUGUGUGUCAGUAUGUCUGGCAGUGUGUCUGUGUAUGUCAGUAUGUCUGAUAGUGUAUGUCAGUAUGUUUGACAGUGUCUGUAUCUGUGUGUGUGUCAGGUCUGUGUGAGUGUAUGUCAGUAUGUCUGACAGUGUAUGUAUCUGUGUGUGUCAGUAUGUCUGUCAGUGUGUGUGCCUGUUUGUGUGUCAGUAUGCCUAUUAGUGUGUAUGUGUGUGUGUGUG